This 463-nucleotide ribosomal RNA is filed under the name uncultured bacterium. RNAcentral describes it as "SSU rRNA". It matches the Rfam family "Bacterial small subunit ribosomal RNA", at positions 26 to 521 of the family's 1533-position model. The record is from RNAcentral.
AGGAUGAACGCUGGCGGCGUGCCUAAUACAUGCAAGUCGAGCGGCAGCGCAGGGUGCUUGCACCCUGGCGGCGAGCGGCGGACGGCUGAGUAACGCGUAGGAACGUACCCUAAAGUGAGGAAUAACUGCCCGAAAGGGUGGCUAAUGCCGCAUGUGCUCUUCGGAGUAAAGCUUCGGCGCUUUGGGAACGGCCUGCGUCCGAUUAGCUAGUUGGUAAGGUAAUGGCUUACCAAGGCUACGAUCGGUAGCUGGUCUGAGAGGAUGACCAGCCAGACUGGGACUGAGAACGGCCCAGACUCCUACGGGAGGCAGCAGUAGGGAAUUUUCCGACAAUGGGCGAAAGCCUGAUGGAGCAACGCCGCGUGCAGGAUGAAGGCCUUCGGGUCGUAACUGCUUUCUCUGUGAAGAUUAUGACGGUAACAGAAGAAUAAGGAUCUGCUAACUACGCGCCAGCAGCCGCGGU